ACCGGCGCACGGGUGCGUAACGCGUAUGCAAUCUACCUUUUACAGAGGGAUAGCCCAGAGAAAUUUGGAUUAAUACCUCAUAGUAUUACGACUCGGCAUCGAGAUGUAAUUAAAGUCACAACGGUAAAAGAUGAGCAUGCGUCCCAUUAGCUAGUUGGUAAGGUAACGGCUUACCAAGGCUACGAUGGGUAGGGGUCCUGAGAGGGAGAUCCCCCACACUGGUACUGAGACACGGACCAGACUCCUACGGGAGGCAGCAGUGAGGAAUAUUGGACAAUGGGCGCAAGCCUGAUCCAGCCAUGCCGCGUGCAGGAUGACGGUCCUAUGGAUUGUAAACUGCUUUUAUACGAGAAGAAACACUACUUCGUGAAGUAGCUUGACGGUAUCGUAAGAAUAAGGAUCGGCUAACUCCGUGCCAGCAGCCGCGGUAAUACGGAGGAUCCAAGCGUUAUCCGGAAUCAUUGGGUUUAAAGGGUCCGUAGGCGGUUUAGUAAGUCAGUGGUGAAAGCCCAUCGCUCAACGGUGGAACGGCCAUUGAUACUGCUAAACUUGAAUUAUUAGGAAGUAACUAGAAUAUGUAGUGUAGCGGUGAAAUGCUUAGAGAUUACAUGGAAUACCAAUUGCGAAGGCAGGUUACUACUAAUGGAUUGACGCUGAUGGACGAAAGCGUGGGUAGCGAACAGGAUUAGA
Molecule: ribosomal RNA, 690 nt
Filed under: Flavobacterium sp. AGC-2-4
Lineage: Bacteria; Pseudomonadati; Bacteroidota; Flavobacteriia; Flavobacteriales; Flavobacteriaceae
Description: bacterial SSU rRNA
Rfam family: Bacterial small subunit ribosomal RNA
Source: RNAcentral